AGAUUUGAAGUUCUUUUUUUGCCUUUCGUGCGUGGAUUAAAAGGUAAAUUGAUGAGCCUUGCAGAUGCAUCAUAUGGUUCGUGGAUUCAGUGAUUCUGCGAUUGGUGUGACACUGAUUUGUUUGGUGACAAUGAUCCAACAGCAAUGGACACCAUGCCUCAACUAGCCACUGCCGCAUCCAAGAGGAAACCCUCCCCGGCGGCAGCGACGGCAAGACGCGGAAGGAAGCGGUGGAUGCACGGGUGGUUGUACGAGGCGAGGCCAGUGAUGGAUAGGUGGCAGCACACCGUUCAUCCUCUUUUAGUUGUUCUAUGAUGUUAUAUGUAGAUUAUACACAUUGCGUUCUAGCUGAUUACUUCGCACACAUGCAACGAUCUGAAGGUAUAUGCAUAUUUAUGUUUCUCAGAGUUAUGUUACCCAAUCCAUAGUAUUACUCAUAAGAGGGAGCUUUCUGAUGAAACUACAACUAAACACUACAGAGUCUUUAGAAGGUGAAAGUCUUAAUAUUCUUUCAGGACUAAUGGCAUUUGUAUGACAUUCAUUUACGUCCUGUUGUGGGAUGGAUUAAAGUAAAUUUACA
This is a non-coding RNA of Aegilops tauschii subsp. strangulata, 580 nucleotides long. Lineage: Eukaryota; Viridiplantae; Streptophyta; Magnoliopsida; Poales; Poaceae. The record is from RefSeq and is a predicted model, not a curated record.